AUUAAUUUAAAACAAUUUAUUUCUUGAGAGUACGACUUUUCUAAUGUGUAUUUACUGAAAUUAUUAUUUUUAUUAGAAAAAUGCAAACGUUCUAGUAUAUAAUAAUUUUGCCUGACAAUUGUUACGACUUCUGCAAAAGUCUAUUUAUGUAUUAAUAGCUUAAGCCGAAAAUAUUUACUUCUAAGGGUGAAAUCAAGGAAAAUAUUCAACACUGGGGAGUGCUGAACACUUUUUGUUCAUUAGAUACGUUUAUUAAUUUCUAAUUUUUCUAAAAUCGACAACUAUUAUCUUCACCAUUUAUUUUCUUUCAAACUCUUCAUUAAAUUCAUGAUUUUAAGAAGUCAAUCGUGAGCACAAUAUAAUCUUCUGUGUUCGCCUAUUCUGAUGUUAAAAUUCUUGCUAGUUUUUCCUAUGUAAAUAUGGCAUGCAUCCUAAUAUAUAAAUGUCAAAUUUGUACGUAUAAUUUUAUUUACGUUUAUUGUUUUUAAUUGUUGUAAUUGUUUUAUUAAAAGCAACAUUAGUUGCAGUUAUUUUUAUUUAGAAAAGAGGGAACAUAUUAGUUGGUUGAUCUCAAAAAGAUUAAGUAGAUGAAGUAUUUUUAAAUAUUUUCCAGUUCCAGUCCAAUCAUUAUCAAAUCACUUUUACCCCUCAAUAGAAAUUAAUUUGUAAAUUUAAUACUAUUUUGUUGUUAUAAAAUUCAUCAUACUUCAAUUGUAAUUUUCCGUUACGUAUUCGUCUAUGACUUUCAUAAAUUUUCUUAUUUACAGUUAUUACCAUUAUUUUUCUACUUCAUAAUGCAAAGAACUGCCUUAACGAAAAUGUAUAUUUUGUUGCUGUUUGUUUAAUUCUAAUUCAUUUGAUUAGGAAAUUUGAAAAAGAAAACACAAUAUUAUUAGUAAAAGAUAUUGCAAAGAUUAAUUAUUUCAACAUAUAUUUCAAAAGCCCUACGUAUUAACCUCGGCGAUGUCGCCACUAGUUUCAAUAUCGAUAUCCAUUGUCUACAUUAAUUGCCGAUUAAUCAUUUAGUAGAUCGUAAACAACAUGUCGGAUAGGCAGGUGAAACUGUUACGGGAAAUUGGUGAGUUUUCCGUGGAAAUGAAACUGUUUUAUAUGAAAAUAAUGCAGUGCCACAGGAUUUAUUCUGUGUUUCCAUAUGAUUCCCUGUGUUCUUUUCCUUUAUCCUCAUCAGAGUAUGGAGUUACGCAAGACAUGAAGUCCGGCAGUGAGCAUCAGGACUACUAGGACAUCUAAAAGGGAGAUAUGGAUUAAUUUCAACCCAUUCAAGACAAAAGGGACACCAGGGAAAUAGAUAUGGAGUUAAGCAAGACAUGAAGUCCAGUAGGAAUC
Agrilus planipennis (emerald ash borer) is the source of this 1347-nucleotide long non-coding RNA. RefSeq lists it as uncharacterized. The record is from RefSeq and is a predicted model, not a curated record. The transcript is spliced from 3 exons. NCBI's taxonomy places the organism in Eukaryota, Metazoa, Arthropoda, Insecta, Coleoptera, Buprestidae.